AGGUAUCGGGUGAAUAGUUAUAAGUUUGAGACUUUGAGUGGUAAGAAAAUGAUGUUUAGCUUUAAACGGUGGAUGUCUAUGGCUGAAGAUUUAGAAAAUGCAUUCGCAAGAGAGUCAUCAUCAAUUCAUUUCUUCACCUAUCACUUUAAAGGUUGCUCUUGAUUUGGCUGUGAGAAAUGUUGAGGAGCUAGAAAAGUUUCUUGCUGGUGUUCCUCAAAAUAUCAACUCCAAUUUUGUUGCCUAUGGAUAGCUUAUUGUUGUUAAUGAAAAAGUUUAUGUUCAUUUAUAUAAAUUAAAAUUGUAUCUUCUCAAGUGUACAACUAAAAAUAAUAAUCUAAUUAUUUUAAUUUAUAUGGUAA
This is a long non-coding RNA of Lycium ferocissimum, 359 nucleotides long. RefSeq lists it as uncharacterized. The record is from RefSeq and is a predicted model, not a curated record. Lineage: Eukaryota; Viridiplantae; Streptophyta; Magnoliopsida; Solanales; Solanaceae. The transcript is spliced from 2 exons.